GUUGACAUCGAUUCGUUUCAAAUUUACACUCUCGAGGCAUAAUAGAACAAUAUAAUUAGGUUUUACUCUUUGUUCGAUAGAAUGAGAAAAAGUACUCAUUGCAAAGUUAUACUGUUAGGGCGCAACCGAAUAGUCUAAUGUUGUUCCGGUUUUGGUUCUUGUGAACGCUGACAUCAAUUGGUUCGAAAUUACAACUCUCGGGGCAUAAUUGAACAAUAUAAAUUAGGUUUUACUCUUUGUUCGAUAGAAUGAGAAAAAGAACUCGUCGCAAAGUUAUACUGCUAGGGGGCAACUGAGUAGUCUAAUAUUGUUCCGGUUUUGGUUCUUGUGAACGUUGACAUCGAUUCGUUCCAAAUUUACACUCUCGGGGCAUAAUAGAACAAUACAAUUAAGUUUUACUCUUUGUUCGAUCGAAUGAGAAAAAGUACUCGUUGCAAAUUUAUAAUAUUAGGGCGCAGCUGAGUAGUCUAAUGUUGUUCCGGUUUUGGUUCUUGUGAAGGUUGACAUCGAUUCGUUCCAAAUUUACACUCUUGGGGCAUAAUAGAACAAUAUAAUUAGCUUUUACACUUUGUUCGAUCGAAUGGGAAAAAAGUACUCGUUACAAAGUUAUACUGUUAGGGCGCAACUGAGUAGUCUAUUGUUGUUCCAGCUUUGGUUCUUAUGAAGGUUGACAUCGAUUCAUUCCAAAUUUACACUCUCGCGGCAUAAUAGAACAAUAUAAUUAGCUUUUACACUUUGUUCGAUUGAAUGAGAAAAAGUACUAGUUGCAAAGUUAUAUUGUUGGGGUACAACAGAGUAGUCUAUUGUUGUUCCGGUUUUGGUUCUAGUGAAAGUUGACAUCGAUUCGUUCCAAAUUUACACUCUCGGGGCAUAAUGAAUAAAAUAAUUAGCUUUUACACUUUGUUCGAUUGAAUGAGAAAAAGUACUAGUUGCAAAGUUAUACUGUUGGGGCGCAACAGAGUAGUCUACUGUUGUUCCGGUUUUGGUUCUUGUUAAGGUUGACAUCGAUUCAUUCCAAAUUUACACUCUCGGGGCAUAAUAGGACAAUAUAAUUAGGUUUUACUCUUUGUUCGAUAGAAUGAGAAAAAGUACUCAUUGCAAAGUUCUACUGUUAGGGCGCAACUGAAUAGCGUUAUGUUGUUACGGUUUUGGUUCUUGUGAACGUUGACAUCGAUUCGUUCGAAAUUACAACUCUCGCGGCAUAAUUGAACAAUAUAAUUAGGUUUUACACUUUGUUCAAUAGAAUGAGAAAAAGUACUCGUCGCAAAGUUAUACUGUUGGGGCGCAACUAAGUAGUCUAAUGUUGUUCCGGUUUUGGUUCUUGUGAACGUUGACAUCGAUUCGUUCCAAAUUUACACUCUCGGGGCAAAAUAGGACAAUAUAAUUAAGUUUUACGCUUUGUUCGAUCGAAUGAGAAAAUGUACGCGUUGCAAAUUUAUACUGUUAGGGCGCAGCUGGGUAGUCUAAUGUUGUUCCGGUUUCGGUUCAUGUGAAGGUUGACAUCGAUUCGUUCCAAAUGUACACUCUUGGGGCAUAAUAGAACAAUAUAAUUAGCUUUUACACUUUGUUCAAUCGAAUGGAAAAAAAUACUCGUUGCAAAGUUAUACUGUUAGGGCGCAGCUUAGUAGUCUAAUGUUGUUCCGGUUUUGGUUCUUGUGAAGGUUGACAUCGAUUCGUUCUAAAUUUACACUCGCGGGGCAUAAUAGAACAAUAUAAUUAGCUUUUACACUUUGUUCGGUCGAAUGGGAAAAAGUACUCGUUGCAAAGUUAUACUGUUAGGGCGGAACUGAGUAGACUAUUGUUGUUCCGGUUUUGGUUCUUGUGAAGGUUGACAUCGAUUCGUUCCAAAUUUACACUCUUGGGGCAUAAUAGAACAAUAUAAUUAGUUUUUACACUUUGUUCGAUUGAUUAAGAAAAAGUACUAGUUGCAAAGUUAUACUGUUGGGGCGCAACAGAGUAGUCUAUUGUUGUUCCGGUUUUGAUUCUUGCUAAGGUUGACAUCGAUUCGUUCCAAAUUUACACUCUCGGGGCAUAAUAGAACAAUAUAAUUUGGUUUUACUCUUUGUUCGAUAGAAUAAGAAAAAGUAGUCAUUGCAAUGUUAUACUGUUAGGGCGCCACUGAAUAGUCUAAUAUUGUUCCGGUUUUGGUUCUUGUGAACGUUGACAUCGAUUCGUUCGAAAUUACAACUCUCGGGGCAUAAUUGAACAAUAUAAUUAGGUUUUACUCUUUGUUCGAUAGAAUGAGAAAAAGUACUCGUCGCAAAGUUAUACUGCUAGGGCGCAACUGAGUAGUCUAAUGUUGUUCCGAUUUUGGUUCUUGUGAACGUUGACAUCGAUUCGUUCCAAAUUUACACUCUCGGGGCACAAUUGAACAAUAUAAUUAGGUUUUACUCUUUGUUCGAUAAAAAGAGAAAAAGUACUCGUUGCAAAGUUAUACUGUUAGGGCGCAACAGAGUAGUCUAAUGUUGUUCCGGUUUUCGUUCUUGUGAACGGUGACAUCGAUUCGUUCCAAAUUUACACUCUCGGGNCUGGGAACUUGUUGUACACAAUCUCGUCGUUGUGCCUUGGGCGGACAGGGGAGGUACUGUCCGUACGGCGGUCCGCCGCCGUGCCCGAACCGAACCAAAUUGGUAUCGGCCUCGGGGCGGGGGCGUGACAGAAAAAUUACUAGUUGCAAAGUUAUACUGUUGGGGCGCAACAGAGUAGUCUAUUGUUGUUCCGGUUUUGGUUAUUGUUAAGGUUGACAUCGAUUCGUUUCAAAUUUACACUCUCGAGGCAUAAUAGAACAAUAUAAUUAGGUUUUACUCUUUGUUCGAUAGAAUGAGAAAAAGUACUCAUUGCAAAGUUAUACUGUUAGGGCGCAACCGAAUAGUCUAAUGUUGUUCCGGUUUUGGUUCUUGUGAACGCUGACAUCAAUUGGUUCGAAAUUACAACUCUCGGGGCAUAAUUGAACAAUAUAAAUUAGGUUUUACUCUUUGUUCGAUAGAAUGAGAAAAAGAACUCGUCGCAAAGUUAUACUGCUAGGGGGCAACUGAGUAGUCUAAUAUUGUUCCGGUUUUGGUUCUUGUGAACGUUGACAUCGAUUCGUUCCAAAUUUACACUCUCGGGGCAUAAUAGAACAAUACAAUUAAGUUUUACUCUUUGUUCGAUCGAAUGAGAAAAAGUACUCGUUGCAAAUUUAUAAUAUUAGGGCGCAGCUGAGUAGUCUAAUGUUGUUCCGGUUUUGGUUCUUGUGAAGGUUGACAUCGAUUCGUUCCAAAUUUACACUCUUGGGGCAUAAUAGAACAAUAUAAUUAGCUUUUACACUUUGUUCGAUCGAAUGGGAAAAAAGUACUCGUUACAAAGUUAUACUGUUAGGGCGCAACUGAGUAGUCUAUUGUUAUUCCAGUUUUGGUUCUUGUGAAGGUUGACAUCGAUUCGUUCCAAAUUUACACUCUCGGGGCAUAAUAGAACAAUAAAAUUAGCUUUUACACUUUGUUCGAUUGAAUAAGAAAAAGUACUAGUUGCAAAGUUAUAUUGUUGGGGUGCAACAGAGUAGUCUAUUGUUUUUCCGAUUUUGGUUCUGGUGAAGGUUGAUAUCGAUUCGUUCCAAAUUUACACUCUCGGGGCAUAAUGAAUAAAAUAAAUAGCUUUUACACUUUGUUCGAUUGAAUGAGAAAAAGUACUAGUUGCAAAGUUAUACUGUUGGGGCGCAACAGAGUAGUUUACUGUUGUUCCGAUUUUGGUUCUUGUUAAGGUUGACAUCGAUUCAUUCCAAAUUUACACUCUCGGGGCAUAAUAGAACAAUACAAUUAAGUUUUACUCUUUGUUCGAUCGAAUGAGAAAAAGUACUCGUUGCAAAAUUAUGCUGUUAGGGCGCAACUGAGUAGUCUAGUGUUGUUCCGAUUUUGGUUCUUGUGAAGAUUGACAUCGAUUCGUUCCAAAUUUACACUCUCGGGGCAUAAUAGAACAAUAUAAUUAGCUUUUACACUUUGUUCGAUUGAAUGAGAAAAAGUACUAGUUGCAAAGUUAUACUGUUGGGGCGCAACAGAGUAGUCUAUUGUUGUUCCGGUUUUGGUUCUUGUUAAGGUUGACAUCGAUUCGUUCCAAAUUUACACUCUCGGGGCAUAAUAGAACAAUAUAAUUAGGUUUUACUCUUUGUUCGAUCGAAUGAGAAAAAGUACUCGUUGCAAAGUUAUACUGUUAGGGCGCAACUGAGUAGUCUAAUGUUGUUCCGGUUUUGGUUCUUGUGAACGUUGACAUCGAUUCGUUCGAAUUUACACUCUCGCGGCAUAAUAGAACAAUAUAAUUAGGUUUUACACUUUGUUCGAUAGAAUGAGAAAAAGUACUCGUUGCAAAGUUAUACUGUUAGGGCGCAACUGAGUAGUCUAAUGUUGUUCCGGUUUUGGUUCUUGUGAACGUUGACAUCGAUUCGUUCCAAAUUUACACUCUCGGGGCAUAAUAGAACAAUAUAAUUAGGUUUUACGCUUUGUUCGAUUGAAUGAGAAAAAGUACUCGUUGCAAAGUUAUACUGUUAGGGCGCAACUGAGUAGUCUAAUGUUGUUCCGGUUUUGGUUCUUGUGAACGUUGACAUCGAUUCGUUCCAAAUUUACACUCUCGGGGCAUAAUAGAACAAUAUAAUUAGNNNNNNNNNNNNNNNNNNNNNNNNNAGAUCGAUUCGUUCCAAAUUUACACUCUCGGGGCAUAAUAGGAAGUUUUUACUUCUUGUUCGAUAGAAUAAGAAAAAGUACUCAUCGCAAAGUUAUACUGUUAUGGCGCAACUGAGUAGUCUAAUGUUGUUCCGGUUUUGGUUCUUGUCAACGUUGACAUCGAUUCGUUCUAAAUUUACACUCUCGACGCUUGAACAAUAUAAUUAGGUUUUACUCUUUAUUCGAUUGAAUGAGAAAAAGGACUAGUUGCAAUGUUAUACUGUUAGGGCUCAACUGAGUAGUCUAACGUUCUUCCGGUUUUGGUUCUUGUGAACGCUGACAUUGAUUCGUUCCGAAUUUACACCCUUGGGGCAUAAAAGAAAGCUUUUACUCCUUGUUCGAUGAUUGAGAAAAAGUACUCAUUGCAAAGUUAUACUGUUAUGGCGCAAUAGAGUAGUCUAAUGUUGUUCCGGUUUUGGUUCUUGUGAACAUUGACGUCAAUUAGUUCCAAAUUUACACUCUCGGGGCAUAAUAGAACAAUAUUAUUAUGUUUUACGCUUUAUUCGAUUGAACGAGAAAAAGUACUCGUCGCAAAGUUAUUCUAUUAGGCGCAACUGAGUAGUCUAAUGUAGUUCCGGUUAUGGUACUUGUGAACGUUGACAUCGAUUCGUUCCAAAUUUACACUCUCGGGGCAUAAUAGAAAGCUUUUACUCCUUGUUCAAUAGAAUUAGAAAAAGUACUCGUUGCAAAGUUAAACUGUUAAGGCACACAGAGUAGUCUAUUGUUGUUCCGAUUUUGGUUCUUGUCAACGUUGACAUCGAUUCGUUCCAAAUUUACACUCUUGGGGUAUAAUAGAACAAUAUAAUUAGGUUUUACUCUUUAGUCGAUUGAAUGAGAAAAAGUACUAGUUGCAAUGUAAUACUAUCAGGGCUCAACUGAGUAGUCUAACGUUGUUUCUGUUUUGGUUCUUGUGAACGUUGACAUCGAUUCGUUCAAAAUUUACACUCUCGGGGAAUAAUAAAAAGCUUUUACUCCUUACUCGAAACAAUGAGAAAAAGUACACGUUGCAAAGUUAUGCUAUUAUGGCGCAACAGAGUAGCCUAAUGUAGUUCCGGUUUUGGUUCUUGUCAACGUUGACAUCGAUUCGUUCCAAAUAUACACUCUCGGGGCAUAAUAGAACAAUAUCGUUUGGUUUUACUCUUUAUUCGAUUGAAUGAGAGAAAGUACUCGUUGCAAAGUUAUACUGUUAUGGCAAAACUGAGUAGUCAAAUUUAGUUCCUGUUUUGGUUCUUGUGAACUUUGACUUCGAUUCGUUCCAAAUUUAUACUCUCGAGGCAUAAUAGAACAAUAUUAUUAGUUUUGCUAUUUGUUCGAUUGAAUGAGAACAAGUUCUAGUUGCAAAGUUAUACUGUCAAGGCUCAACUGAGUAGUCAAACGUUGUUCCGGUUUUGGUUUUUGUGAACGUCAACAUCGUUACGUUGCAAAUUUACACUCUCGGGGCAUAAUAGAAAGCUUUUACACCUUGUUCGAUAGAAAGAGAAAAAGUACUCGUUGCAAAAUUAUAUUGUUAUGGCGCAACAGAGUAGUCUAAUGUUAUUUCAGGUUUGGUUCUUGUGAACAUUGACAUCGAUUCAUACCAAAUUUACACUCUCGGUGCAUAAUAGAACAACAUAAGUAGGUUUUGCUCUUUGUUCGAUUGAAUGAGAAAAAGUACUAGUUGCAAUCUUAUACUGUUAGGGCUCAACUGAGUUGUCUAACGUUGUUUCGGUUUUGGUUCUCGUGAACGUUGACAUCGAUUCNNNNNNNNNNNNNNNNNNNNNNNNNAUACUGUUAUGGCGCAACUGAGUAGUCUAAUGUUGUUCCAGUUUUGGUUCUUGUGAACGUUGACAUCGAUUCGUUCCAAAUUAAAACUCUCCGGUAAUAAUAGAACAAUAUAAUUAGGUUUUGCUCUUUGUUCGAUUGAAUGAGAAAAAAUACUAGUUGCAAAGUUAUACUGUUAGGGCUCAACUGAGUAGUCUAACGUUGUUCCGGUUUUAGUUCGUGCGAACGUUGACAUUGAUUCGCUCCAAAUUUACACUCUCGGGGCAUAAUAGAUAGCUUUUACUCCUUAUUCGAUAGAAUUAGAAAAAGUACUCGUUGCAAAGUUAAACUGUUAAGGCGCAACUGAGUAGUCUAGCGUUGUUCCAGUUUUGGUUCUUGUGAACGUUGACAUCGAUUCGUUCCAAAUUUACACUCUCGGGGUAUAAUAGAACAAUAUAAUUAGGUUUUACUCUUUGUUCAAUUGAAUAAGAAAAAGUACUGGUUGCAAUGUCAUACUGUUAGGGCUCAACUGAGUAGUCUAACGUUCUUCCGAUUUUGGUUCUCGUGAACGUUG
This 7002-nucleotide long non-coding RNA is filed under the name Ananas comosus (pineapple). RNAcentral's name for it is "long non-coding RNA (ACOM_LNC029062)". The record is from RNAcentral. Lineage: Eukaryota; Viridiplantae; Streptophyta; Magnoliopsida; Poales; Bromeliaceae.